UGGCUCAGUUGGUAGAGCAUGGCGCUUUCAACGCCAAGGAUAGUGGGUUCUAUUCCCGC
This 59-nucleotide transfer RNA is filed under the name Oncorhynchus kisutch (coho salmon). It matches the Rfam family "tRNA", at positions 8 to 63 of the family's 71-position model. From Rfam's summary of the family: Transfer RNA (tRNA) molecules are approximately 80 nucleotides in length. Their secondary structure includes four short double-helical elements and three loops (D, anti-codon, and T loops). The record is from Rfam by way of RNAcentral. RNAcentral also lists the same sequence under 5 other names. Lineage: Eukaryota; Metazoa; Chordata; Actinopteri; Salmoniformes; Salmonidae.